GACGAACGCUGGCGGCGUGCUUAACACAUGCAAGUCGAACGGAAAGGCCCUGCUUUUGUGGGGUGCUCGAGUGGCGAACGGGUGAGUAACACGUGAGUAACCUGCCCUUGACUUUGGGAUAACUUCAGGAAACUGGGGCUAAUACCGGAUAGGAGCUCCUGCUGCAUGGUGUGGGUUGGAAAGUUUCGGCGGUUGGGGAUGGACUCGCGGCUUAUCAGCUUGUUGGUGGGGUAGUGGCUUACCAAGGCUUUGACGGGUAGCCGGCAUGGGAGGGUGACCGGGGACCAUGGGACUGCGGUACGGCCCAGACUCCAACGGGAGGCAACAGGGGGGAACCUUACACAAUGGGCGGAAGCCUGAUGUGGCAACGCCGCGUGCGGGAUGCCCGCCUUCGGGUUGUAAACAGCUUUGGCCUGAGACGAAGAGUGCGUGACGGUAAUGGGUAAAGAAGCACCGGCUAACUACGUG
RNAcentral lists this ribosomal RNA (468 nucleotides) under uncultured bacterium. RNAcentral's name for it is "partial 16S ribosomal RNA". It matches the Rfam family "Bacterial small subunit ribosomal RNA", at positions 28 to 507 of the family's 1533-position model. The record is from RNAcentral.